This 806-nucleotide long non-coding RNA is filed under the name Helianthus annuus (common sunflower). RNAcentral's name for it is "sRNA HanXRQr2_Chr04g0183991". The record is from RNAcentral. Lineage: Eukaryota; Viridiplantae; Streptophyta; Magnoliopsida; Asterales; Asteraceae.
UUAAAUAUUAAAUUAACAAUUGAAACUAUUUUACUAGAAAUAUUUUAAAUCACAAAAAGGUUAGUAGUUUCCAUGUCCAAAUUGCUUCCUUCCAAUGGACAUUUUGUAGGUCCAUCUAAUCAACCAACCUUUUCCAAGUUUCGCAACAACCAAUUUGUUUCAAAAUUUACUUAAUACGUUAAUUUAUGAAAACAUUUUUUUUUUGUAAACAAACAUUUAAUAUUAUUGUUUUACUGUAUAAAAAAGCCAAAUUUUCUUUUGUUUUAUUAGCCAGUAUGGCCCAGUAAUAUAUUUUUCUAGUACACCUUUGUAUUUUGGGUUAUUUGAUUCAAACGUUGUUUUUAUAGAUCCAAACAAUAAUAGUGAAACUAAAAAGGCUAACUAAUUUCUUAUGAUAAUUAUCAUCCGCAACCACUUUGAUUAGAUUUUCCAUGCCUAACAACUACCACCUCAAUGAUUUUUCUGGAGAAUCUUUAGCUUUGGCAAUUUUUAUAAAAAAUUAAUGAUAUUUAAUAUAUAGAAUAUAAGGUUGGAUUCGUUAGUGAACAACCCCCUUAAUUAUGAACACUAAUGAACUAAUCUUAGCUCUUGAAUCUUGAUUAUCAAUACACAAGUGUAAAUCAAUAGCCAGGAUUUGAUGAUGAAAAUACACCAGUUUAUUUUAAGAUUUGAUGAUGUAAAUCAAUGAAACACAUAGAAUAUAUACAUGCAUGCAUAGACAAAGAGAGGAUGUAUAAUAAGAAAACUAUCAGGCAAAGAACUAUAAAAGGCGUAUAAAUACUUUUAUAUUUUUUAAUUGUAAUAUA